GUGUUUCAGGGCCAUGCGGGCGGCUGCCGAGGUGGAAUUUCUCAAAUAUUCAUAUUCCUUUCAAACACGCACGCCAGGAGUAGCAGGGUUGAAGCUGCAGAAACCGUCUCUGUUUCUGCAUAGUGAAUCACCACAUACACUUUUCUUUCUCACUCUCUCUCCGCAUCCUUGGUAUCAUCAGGCAUUUGGGGGCAAGUUUAUUUUUUGGAGCCGAAACUGGAUCCUCAAAACAUCAAGGUGUUCACAUUUUCUGCAGCACCGGAGUCAGGGCUGUUUAACCUAGUGUUAUGGCACUAAUUUGUUGUGUAACCUCAAAUCGGUAAUCUCUCUGUUUUAAAGCAUCAUUUGUGUUUCGAGGGAAAAAUCAUAAACUAUUUUGCUUUCUGAUCCUAAGGAAAAUAUACAGCAGAAUCAAAAAACAUUAUUAAGCUUAUUGCAUAUCAAGAUUUUGCUGUCGAUGUUGCUCAGAGUUGGAGGUCCUGUCGUGUUUUCUUAAGCCUUGGAUACUUUGGCAGGAGAAGGAAAACACCUCUGAAGCUAAGCUACGUUUAAUUAAGUAUCAGUGUAUGUGUGUGUGGUGAGUGGAGUAUUCCAAUGACAAGCUCAUCAAUACAGCUAAUACCAACCAGAUGGAAUCGUUAUAUGUUCAGUUACACAGCUUGAAACUCCAGUGUGGGUGAAGCAAUGUGGAUAUGCUACCAGCCACUCAAAAAUCAAGCCUCCACCUCCGUGAAAUAUAUGCUGAUUAUACCAUGAGUUUGAUCUGUGGUUUGAGUGGGGCCUCAGUUUUUGCCUUGAAGAAUAAUCCCAUUGAUCUGAAUGCUGGAAGAAGACCAAGAAAGGGAUGAAAUGAAUGCAAUCAAGAUGAGGCAAAAUUGAGACCGGAAAAAAUAAUAAAGGACUUGACAAGAAAUUGGUGAAGAAGGGCUGUAGAAUCUGGAGUGUCUUAGCGAGAGAGUAUGUAGGACAGGCAACUGAGACAUCUUGGUCAGGAAGCCAGUGGAAGAAGGAGACCAGUUGAGCAAGGAGAUUAGAGGGGCUGACCAAUGAUUCUGGUAUUGGGAAGGAAUCAAAUGGUUGAGCAAGACCACACUGGAUGUGCGUUGCAAAACAGAAGGGUGACACUGAGCUAGUGAGGUAAACAGAAAGGAGGGAUUUAGAAUUGACUGACUGGAGAGGAAAAAGGUUGAAAAAAGGUACUUAAAUCUGAUGAGCUAUGAUAUGGAACUGUCUAGACCUAGGAACCUGUGGUACCUGAGCUAGCAAUUUAUGGUGGAGGAGAUGUGGGUCCCUUCCAGGACCCAGGGAUAUCCUGUGAGUCUAUGAGCGUAGGUGAAACCCUUGACAGAAAUUUGCAUUUUCUCAUUUUAAGGACAGCAUGAGAUAUCAGAGAUACAUUUACAGAAGCAUUCUGUGCUACCAAGUAGUUGCAGUUAAGUGGAGCUUGCUAUAAACAUAGUAAUUCUUAAAGUACUUAGCAUUUAAUAACAUUUUUAAAUUUUGCAUAGUAUUUGGAUGGUGUUCAUUAAUGUCUAGAGCUAGAUACUGAUUACAAGUGAAUUCAAUAUUACAAAUGAAUACUAAAUAACUGUCUGUUCACCAAAUGAAGCAGCAAUAACAGGCAAAUAUGGAUAACCAAUGAUUUGUCAAGUGACAGGAAAAUAGAGAAUUCAAUGGAACUGUACAGAAAGUACAAAAAUGAUGGAUUUUUGAAUUUGAUUGAGGAGACCAAGAGAGACUUCAGUGUUGGUUAAAGACCAUAAAAUUGUGAAAAAUGGGACUGGAAGGUACCUUUAGGACCAUCCGGAUUGACUUCAGCAAAGAUGGUAUAGAAAGAGAGGAAUGAAAAAGGCCAGGGAAAUAAAGUUAUUAACAUGGAAACCCUCUUAGUUGAAUGGGACAGGCAGGAAGAAAUAUGUUCUUAAUAUAUUGUGGAACAGGUAAUAAAUGUGUAAUGUAGUGAGGAAAAAUCAGAAAUGUGAAACAAUUAUUCUUUUCUUAAAUAAGUACGGGAUCAAAAACAGUAGAUGCAGAAAGUGGAUCCACAAGGAAUGUGAAGAAAAUAGUAAACUGUUAAAUAUAAAGUUCCUCUCCGUGAAGACACGUA
Molecule: long non-coding RNA, 2107 nt
Organism: Anas platyrhynchos (mallard)
Lineage: Eukaryota; Metazoa; Chordata; Aves; Anseriformes; Anatidae
Source: RefSeq, a predicted model, not a curated record